UUUUAAAGUACACUUCUUCCUAAGGUUGACUUGUUUUAGGGAUAGCCAAACCUACAGGUUCUUCUAAUUGAUAUACUCAUCUCACCAACACUAAUGUUAAUGUUAUUUUUAAUGCAUUUCAAAGAGGUCAUCAAACCAAUAGAAGUUCAGAACUGGACAAGAAUGGCCAGCCAGUAAAUUCUAGACUUUCUCUUUGAAACCUCAUUUCUUAUAAUGCAAGAAUGUAACCUCUUAAUUGCUCUAUUUGUAUUACAUCAUCAUGUUUGGACUUUCCUAGAUACCCUUGACCUCUCUGGUGUUUCCUGUUAUGGUGAGUCUGUUCUAACAACCUUAUUAUAGUCAUGUUUUUGCACAUUAACCACACUCCAUGGAAGAAGCCGUUUAACAUGAGACUUGUUCCUAAGUACUACACUGGCUCUGGCUUCCAAGUAGAGGAUUACCCUUUGAUUACUUUAUCUGGCUACGAGGACAGAAAGAUUCUUGGGAGCCAACCUCCCAUCAGGUCAACUAUUUUGCUACAGAUACUACUUUGCAGGUUUAGUCCCCUAUACUUUGAGGUCUUCAGCCUCAAUUUGACUUCCUGUCUUGUUCAAUGAGAAUUUUGGAGUUAUGUCAGGUGAAGAAUCAAUCUAUCCAGUCUGGAAUGUUGCUGGGAGGAGGGCUGUCUUUCUGUAAUGGGAGAAAGUGUUUAUUUGAACUACAGAGUAAGUUGUAGGCUAUAAUGUAUUGUGCAAUUGUUUGAUUUUAAAGAAAGCAUAGCUUUACUCUUCCAAAACUGAACAUCUUACGUCGGCAUUCCUAUUUAUUAUGAGCUGCGCUGGGCCUUACAGAUAUUGUUUCCUGGAUCCUCUAACAAGUUAAUUAUUGAUAUUAAUCCUCUAAUAAAUUAAUUAUUAAUGUACAUUGUACAGAUAAAUGUAAUUGGAGAGAAAAUAAUUUUAACAGGAUCAGAAUCCCUUCCAGUUCCAAUUUAAAUUUGAAGGCUUAAUUCAUGGCAUCUUAUAGUUCAAAGAAAGCUUUGAAUUGUUUAGUAUAUACUAACACAUAUUAAAGAAUGAGAAGUAUGGAUAAAUUUCCCAAUAGUUGCCUAGCAGAAGCAUAUACUUAGUAAGUAUAUGACUUACUAAGCAGGUGAUCACGAGUGAUUUAGGGAGCCCUUUGUAGCUUUCCCCUAUUUACCUUUAGCCUUUUUCCAUAUCACCAAUGACCUCUUAAUUUUCAUAUUGCCUAUAGAAUUAAGUUACCCUGUCCAAGAAGUCACUUUGUUUUACCCUGGCCCCAGUGCAUUCUUAAAUAUCAGGGGUUAUAUUCCCUUUUACUCGGGCAUUGGAUGCCUCAUGUUGCCUUAUAUCAAACUUUAAAUGAUAUCCUCAUGUCCUGAGGGCAGGACGGUAGAAGAAGAACUCAUUUGGCAUUAGACUUUUUCAUGAUGGACAACCUGCUGCUUAUUUGGAAGACCUUCAUCUUCAAAAUAUUGAUCCAAGUCCUUUGGGGCUGCUGCUACUGCCAGAGUUGUUUUGAGUUUGACAGUACCUCUCCAGAGCCUUAAGGAUCAGAAGACUGCUGAGACAGAUACGGCUAUGCUAAGCUCUUCAUGUUCAUCUUAGGGACUCACUGCAUUCUAUUUUUUAACUACGUGUGCUACUCAGAGUUAGGAGAUCUUGGAUGGGACUCCAAAACGAUUUAACAGAUUCCAUACCUUAUGUUAGGACCAGAGCAGGUAGUAAAGCAUGUAGUGAUAUGAUUUUGACCCAGAAGGAUGGUUUUGGGUAUCAACCUCAAGAAUGUCUGCAAAAGGUUUUCAAUGAAGACAACAAAGAAUACCAGUGCUUUCAUCGGGAGGAGGAAUGAGCCUGAUGGUUGUAGUGCCUUUUGCUUGUGGUACACGUAGCCAAAGGAGCUCUGUGAUGCCAACAGACAUUGAGAAAGGUAAUCUUGGAUCACUGCCAGCUGAAUUGGCCAGUGCACCUUGCAUUGAGUACUCUAUAUUGCAUUAUCUGUCCUUUUUAUGAGGUGCUUAUUGUACUUAGUUUUUAGGGCCCUGAAAGCUUUCUUUGCACUUACUGGUUCAAAUCCUAGCAUCAACUACAUGUUAAAAGUAGUCAAGAAAAGAAUGAUUUGGCUUAUUUUAAGCUUUAAGAGUAACAUACUGACAGCUUAUGAAUAUAUAUAUACAAUAUAAUUUAUAUCAUAAUAUGAAUAUAUAACCAGCUUAACUCAUCUUCAGAUUUAGAUCCAGCACACAAAAUAGCAUUUUAAAGCAAAAUACUUUGGAUUUUAUGCAUGAGGGAACUACAAACUGUACACUUUCCACAAGGGGGGGAAUAAAUACUUUUUUCUGUGUCCUUGGAGUAUGGGUGGGAUUCGUGGAUACAUUUCUCUGGUUCACCAUUUCAGUGAUGUUAAGGAACCUCAUGUUGCAGCACAGAAGAUUUUUCAUCGUUGGAAGUUAAGGUUAGUUCACUUUCAUUGAUUCCUCCCUACACUGGACUAAAGCAUUUAAUCUGGAAACGCAUAGGUCUCUAUAUAGCUUAUCAUAACUUCUAUCCAUAGAAAGGGGCUUUCAACAACCUGUCAGUAUAUUGUGAAAUGUCUCCUAUAUCAACUGGUAAUAAGAAAUCAGAAUUACAGCAUUAAUGAAGUAUCACCUAGAUUGAACUAAGCAGGAAAAUUUUAGAUGGUAGUAUACUAUCACAACCAAUACAUAACGGUUCCUGAAUCCUAAAAAGGUGGAGUUCUUUAUGGUAUUAGUGCCUAUCUUCAAAUUACUUGCUCUCUGGAAAGAUGCUGAUAAAGUUUUGUCUGGCACCAUAGUAUCCCUGCUCUAUGGGAACCAUAUCUGUACAAUAGAAUCUCCACCCACUGGCAAGAUGAUAGCUUCAAGGACCGUCAUCUUCCAAGUGGGCAUGAAGCUGUUAGCUUUUUUUUUUUUUUUUU
Cebus imitator (Panamanian white-faced capuchin) is the source of this 2937-nucleotide long non-coding RNA. RefSeq lists it as uncharacterized. The transcript has 2 exons. Lineage: Eukaryota; Metazoa; Chordata; Mammalia; Primates; Cebidae. The record is from RefSeq and is a predicted model, not a curated record.